This 484-nucleotide ribosomal RNA is filed under the name uncultured bacterium. RNAcentral describes it as "partial 16S ribosomal RNA". It matches the Rfam family "Bacterial small subunit ribosomal RNA", at positions 30 to 507 of the family's 1533-position model. The record is from RNAcentral.
AUUGAACGCUGGCGGCAUGCUUUACACAUGCAAGUCGAACGGCAGCGCGGUCUUCGCCUUCGCGGCGAGUGGCGAACGGGUGGGUAAUGCAUCGGAACGUGCCCAUCUGCUUGGUAUAGCCCGGUGAAAGCCGGAUUCAUACCCUAAUCCCCCUUAGGGUGAAAGCCUGGGACCGAAAGGUCUUCGGCCCUUGCACCGGCCGAUGUCGGAUUAGCUAGUUGGGGGGGUAAAGGCUUACCAAGGCGACGAUCCGUAGCUGGUCUGAGAGGAUGACCAGCCACACUGGAACUGAGACACGGCCCAGACUCCUACGGGAGGCAGCAGUGGGGAAUUUUGGACAAUGGGCGCAAGCCUGAUCCAGCCAUGCCGCGUGCGGGAAGAAGGCCUUCGGGUUGUAAAGCGCUUUUGUUCGGGAAGAAAAGCUCUGGGCUAAUACCCCGGGGGGAUGACGGUACCGGAAGAAUAAGCACCGGCUAACUACGUG